Molecule: transfer RNA, 77 nt
Filed under: Rhinogobius brunneus (Amur goby)
Lineage: Eukaryota; Metazoa; Chordata; Actinopteri; Gobiiformes; Gobiidae
Description: tRNA-Val
Source: RNAcentral
AUAGUAUAGCACCUCCCUUACACCGAGAAGGUACCCGUGCAAAUCGGGUCGCACUGACUCUGCCUCUUAACAGCUAG